AGAAUCUUGCGCAAUGGGCGAAAGCCUGACGCAGCAACGCCGCGUGGGGGACGAAGGCCUUCGGGUCGUAAACCCCUUUUGCGAGGGAAGAAGUUCUGACGGUACCUCGCGAAUAAGCCACGGCUCACUACGUGCCAGCAGCCGCGGUAAUACGUAGGUGGCAAGCGUUGUCCGGAUUUACUGGGCGUAAAGCGCCCGCAGGCGGCUUGUUAAGUUCAAGGUGAAAUCUCCCGGCUCAACUGGGAGGGUGCCUCGAAAACUGGCAGGCUUGAGGUGAGGAGAGGGAUGCGGAAUUCCAGGUGUAGCGGUGAAAUGCGUAGAUAUAUGGAGGAACACCAGUGGCGAAGGCGGCAUCCUGGCCUUAUCCUGACGCUCAGGGGCGAAAGCGUGGGGAGCAAA
Molecule: ribosomal RNA, 399 nt
Filed under: uncultured bacterium
Lineage: Bacteria
Description: bacterial SSU rRNA
Rfam family: Bacterial small subunit ribosomal RNA
Source: RNAcentral